AUUGAACGCUGGCGGCAUGCCUUACACAUGCAAGUCGAACGGUAACAGGUCUUCGGAUGCUGACGAGUGGCGAACGGGUGAGUAAUACAUCGGAACGUGCCUAGUAGUGGGGGAUAACUACUCGAAAGAGUGGCUAAUACCGCGUGAGAUCUACGGAUGAAAGCAGGGGAUCGCAAGACCUUGUGCUACUAGAGCGGCCGAUGGCAGAUUAGGUAGUUGGUGGGAUAAAAGCUUACCAAGCCGACGAUCUGUAGCUGGUCUGAGAGGACGAUCGGCCACACUGGGAAUGAGACACGGCCCAGACUCCUACGGGAGGCAGCAGUGGGGAAUUUUGGACAAUGGGCGCAAGCCUGAUCCAGCAAUGCCGCGUGCAGGAUGAAGGCCUUCGGGUUGUAAACUGCUUUUGUACGGAACGAAAAGCCCUGGGUUAAUACCCUGGGGUCAUGACGGUACCGUAAGAAUAAGCACCGGCUAACUACGUGCCAGCCGCCGCCGUAA
This 498-nucleotide ribosomal RNA is filed under the name uncultured bacterium. Its description in RNAcentral is "partial 16S ribosomal RNA". It matches the Rfam family "Bacterial small subunit ribosomal RNA", at positions 30 to 523 of the family's 1533-position model. The record is from RNAcentral.